GACAGAGGGGGCCAGCGUUGUCCGGAAUGACUGGGCGUACAGCGCGCGCAGGCGGGUGGCUACGUGCCGUGUGACAGCCCACAGCUCAACUGUGGGUGGCCAUGGUAGACGAGCGGCCUGGAGUGGGUGAGAGGGAUGUGGAAUGCCCGGUGGAGCGGUGAAAUGCGUAGAGAUCGGGCGGAACACCAGUGGCGCAAGCGGCAUCCUGGCACCAAACUGACGCUGAGGCGCGAGAGCGUGGGGAGCAAACGGG
This 253-nucleotide ribosomal RNA is filed under the name uncultured bacterium. Its description in RNAcentral is "partial 16S ribosomal RNA". It matches the Rfam family "Bacterial small subunit ribosomal RNA", at positions 524 to 776 of the family's 1533-position model. The record is from RNAcentral.